GCUCUGGUGGCCUAGUGGUUAGAGCGUCCGCCUCAGAUGCGGACGGUUGUAGGUUUGAUGCCCGGUUGAGUCAUAACA
Non-coding RNA from Potamilus streckersoni, 78 nucleotides. The record is from the annotation of a GenBank genome assembly. Lineage: Eukaryota; Metazoa; Mollusca; Bivalvia; Unionida; Unionidae.